Molecule: long non-coding RNA, 2112 nt
Filed under: Homo sapiens (human)
Lineage: Eukaryota; Metazoa; Chordata; Mammalia; Primates; Hominidae
Description: HSALNT0351595
Source: RNAcentral
UCCACUUGCCUCGGCCUCCCACAGUGUUGGGAUUACAGGCGUGAGUCACCAUGCCUGGCCAAGAAAAGUUCUUUUAAGUAUGUAAAUGAUUCAAUUUGGAUGAAGGUGAAUAGCCCUAUUCAGCCAACUGAGGCAGGCAGACUGAAGUGAAAAUAAAUAAGGAGAACUUAGCAUUUCCUUGUUUGACUUUUAAUGGAAUAAUGUCAUUGCCAGGCAUGGACUCAAACAAAGUAGGCACUUGGUUAAUAUGUAUUGAAUGAAAGAAAUGAGCAGGUAGGCUUUUAGGAAGUGGAUCUUUUGACUGACUCCCAAAUGCUGGUCAUUGCAUUUCUAGAACAAAGGCCACAUUUUAGAAACAACUGGGGAGUCUUUUUCAUGGACACAUGCCCAGCCCCAUUAGAGCAUCCUGGCAGGGUGUCCAGCCGUGUAUGUUUUGAAGCUCCUGUGGUUCAGACACAACCUGUUACACAACUACCACCUUGUUAUCUCUGUGGUCCUGGCCUGUGCUGAUGCUGUGAUAUUUUCACCCUGAAAUGAAGAGUCAUCCCAACAUCAAGGUCAGUAAACCAAUUCCUGUCCUUAAAAUGGAUUCAUUAUUAUUUGAAUUUCAAACAACAGACCAACCAUAGCUCAAUGUUUCUCAAGAGUAUCCUGUGGAGCACAGUGCGUGAACGCCCAGAAGAAAGCAGUCUGUGGUCAGGUGGGUUUCUGUGCCAUUUGCUGCCACCUUCCCUGCAAACAGUGAUUUACAGCACACAUUGUUCUUGUGUCUGUUCUGCAGUGAUAAAACCCAUUUAACUCAGUGGUUCCCAAAUGUACUGACCGUGGAACUGUUUUACUCAGGGGACACUGUUAACAUCCUGUAGAAGCACAGUAGCAGGUAUCCAGCCUGCAUACGAUAAGACAACCAGAACCAAAUUUGGCAGGUACAUGUCUGGAACUCUGUUUCAUUAUGCCGUAAAAUAAAACUACGAAUUUCAUUCAACAAAUCUGUACUGAAUAAGUAGGCUUCACUCUUGGGAUGUCAACUUUUAAAACUUACUUAAUAUCAGCUAUCGUUAUAUAAUCUUUGUUCAUAAUGACGCUGUCUGGUUGAACACAAACUGGCUGGGUGUUAAAUUCCACUUGUGUUUAUGAUAUUUAAUAAUGUCCUAAGAAGGCAGCCAGUAGAACCUUGGCUACUGUUUUUCAAAAGUGGCUCUGCAUUGCUCCUACAUAACCCCGUACAUUACUCCACAGUCCUGUUAGAGCCCUGAAAGGGAAACUGCUAAAAAUAAGGUUCUUCAUUUAGGUGACUAGGAACUCCCAAUAUUUUUGCCCUAGGGAAUACUGGGAGACAAAUCUCUACGAUCACAAAUUACUAAUGGUUUCCCCAGAACUGCUGGUGGCCAUAUCCCCUGGCAUGUGGAAGGGCCCAGAAGAGGCCACUCUACUGCAGAGGCCAACAGAAGAGUGUUGCCCAGGCUGGUCUCAAACUUCUGGGCUCAAGCAACCCUCCAGCCUCGGCCUCCCAAAGUGUUGGGAUCAUAGGCAUGAGACACCGUGCCUGGCGAAGAUAUUUUUACCGAAAAGGACAGAGGGUGUACUUGGAGGCACAUACCAAAGAAAUGCCAUGUGAGAACAAGCAAGAAGGUGGCCAUCUGUAAACCAGGAAGAGUGUCCUCACCAGAAAAUGAAGUGGCUUCAACUUUGAUCUCAGAAUUCCAGCCUCCAUAACUGUUUACAAAAGACUUUGUGAGAGAGCUGGCAUGAUGGCCGAAUAGGAACAGCUCCAGUCUGCAGCUCCCAGUGAGACUGACACAGAAGGCGAGUGAUUUCUGCAUUUCCAACUGAGGUACCCGGUUCAUCUCAUUGGGACUGGUUGGACAGUGGGUGCAGCCCAUGGAGGAUGCGCUCAAGUGGGGUGGGGCGUCACCUCACCUGGGAAGCACAAAGGGUCAGGAAACUUCCUCUCCUAGCCAAGGGAAGCCAUGAGAGACUGUACCAGGAGGAACAGUGCACUCUGGCCCAGAUACUGCGCUUUUCCCAUGGCCUUCACAACCAGCAGACCAGGAGAUUCCCUCCAGUGCCUGGCUUGGUGGGUCCCACCCACAAGGAGCCCAGAAAGCUAAG